GAGAUCGGGAUAACACCUGGAAACAGAUGCUAAUACCGGAUAAUAACAGAUGAUGCCUAUCAACUGUUUAAAAGAUGGUUCUGCUAUCACUCUUGGAUGGACCUGCGGUGCAUUAGCUAGUUGGUAGGGUAACGGCCUACCAAGGCGAUGAUGCAUAGCCGAGUUGAGAGACUGAUCGGCCACAUUGGGACUGAGACACGGCCCAAACUCCUACGGGAGGCAGCAGGA
RNAcentral lists this ribosomal RNA (228 nucleotides) under uncultured Lactobacillus sp. RNAcentral's name for it is "partial 16S ribosomal RNA". It matches the Rfam family "Bacterial small subunit ribosomal RNA", at positions 134 to 354 of the family's 1533-position model. Lineage: Bacteria; Bacillati; Bacillota; Bacilli; Lactobacillales; Lactobacillaceae. The record is from RNAcentral.